This 72-nucleotide transfer RNA is filed under the name Candidatus Brennerbacteria bacterium RIFOXYB1_FULL_41_13. Its description in RNAcentral is "tRNA-Phe". It matches the Rfam family "tRNA". From Rfam's summary of the family: Transfer RNA (tRNA) molecules are approximately 80 nucleotides in length. Their secondary structure includes four short double-helical elements and three loops (D, anti-codon, and T loops). Further hydrogen bonds mediate the characteristic L-shaped molecular structure. tRNAs have two regions of fundamental functional importance: the anti-codon, which is responsible for specific mRNA codon recognition, and the 3' end, to which the tRNAs corresponding amino acid is attached (by aminoacyl-tRNA synthetases). tRNAs cope with the degeneracy of the genetic code in two manners: having more than one tRNA (with a specific anti-codon) for a particular amino acid; and 'wobble' base-pairing, i.e. permitting non-standard base-pairing at the 3rd anti-codon position. The record is from RNAcentral. Lineage: Bacteria; Candidatus Brenneribacteriota. RNAcentral also lists the same sequence under 2 other names.
GCCGCAGUAGCUCAAUGGUAGAGCGAAGGUCUGAAGAACCUUGCGUUGGUGGUCCGAUUCCGCCCUGCGGCA